This 638-nucleotide ribosomal RNA is filed under the name Streptococcus lutetiensis. Its description in RNAcentral is "bacterial SSU rRNA". It matches the Rfam family "Bacterial small subunit ribosomal RNA", at positions 286 to 915 of the family's 1533-position model. Lineage: Bacteria; Bacillati; Bacillota; Bacilli; Lactobacillales; Streptococcaceae. The record is from RNAcentral.
GCCGACCUGAGAGGGUGAUCGGCCACACUGGGACUGAGACACGGCCCAGACUCCUACGGGAGGCAGCAGUAGGGAAUCUUCAGCAAUGGGGGAAACCCUGACCGAGCAACGCCGCGUGAGUGAAGAAGGUUUUCGGAUCGUAAAGCUCUGUUGUAAGAGAAGAACGUGUGUGAGAGUGGAAAGUUCACACAGUGACGGUAACUUACCAGAAAGGGACGGCUAACUACGUGCCAGCAGCCGCGGUAAUACGUAGGUCCCGAGCGUUGUCCGGAUUUAUUGGGCGUAAAGCGAGCGCAGGCGGUUUAAUAAGUCUGAAGUUAAAGGCAGUGGCUCAACCAUUGUUCGCUUUGGAAACUGUUAGACUUGAGUGCAGAAGGGGAGAGUGGAAUUCCAUGUGUAGCGGUGAAAUGCAUAGAUAUAUGGAGGAACACCGGUGGCGAAAGCGGCUCUCUGGUCUGUAACUGACGCUGAGGCUCGAAAGCGUGGGGAGCAAACAGGAUUAGAUACCCUGGUAUCCACGGCCGUAAACGAUGAGUGCUAGGUGUUAGGCCCUUUCCGGGGCUUAGUGCCGCAGCUAACGCAUUAAGCACUCCGCCUGGGGAGUACGACCGCAAGGUUGAAACUCAAAGGAAUUGACG